Molecule: ribosomal RNA, 520 nt
Filed under: Lodderomyces parapsilosis
Lineage: Eukaryota; Fungi; Ascomycota; Pichiomycetes; Serinales; Debaryomycetaceae
Description: LSU rRNA
Rfam family: Eukaryotic large subunit ribosomal RNA
Source: RNAcentral
GCGGCGAGUGAAGCGGCAAAAGCUCAAAUUUGAAAUCUGGCACUUUCAGUGUCCGAGUUGUAAUUUGAAGAAGGUAUCUUUGGGUCUGGCUCUUGUCUAUGUUUCUUGGAACAGAACGUCACAGAGGGUGAGAAUCCCGUGCGAUGAGAUGUCCCAGACCUAUGUAAAGUUCCUUCGAAGAGUCGAGUUGUUUGGGAAUGCAGCUCUAAGUGGGUGGUAAAUUCCAUCUAAAGCUAAAUAUUGGCGAGAGACCGAUAGCGAACAAGUACAGUGAUGGAAAGAUGAAAAGAACUUUGAAAAGAGAGUGAAAAAGUACGUGAAAUUGUUGAAAGGGAAGGGCUUGAGAUCAGACUUGGUAUUUUGUAUGUUACUCUCUCGGGGGUGGCCUCUACAGUUUACCGGGCCAGCAUCAGUUUGAGCGGUAGGAUAAGUGCAAAGAAAUGUGGCACUGCUUCGGUAGUGUGUUAUAGUCUUUGUCGAUACUGCCAGCUUAGACUGAGGACUGCGGCUUCGGCCUAGG